RNAcentral lists this transfer RNA (73 nucleotides) under Plasmodiophora brassicae. It matches the Rfam family "tRNA". From Rfam's summary of the family: Transfer RNA (tRNA) molecules are approximately 80 nucleotides in length. Their secondary structure includes four short double-helical elements and three loops (D, anti-codon, and T loops). Further hydrogen bonds mediate the characteristic L-shaped molecular structure. tRNAs have two regions of fundamental functional importance: the anti-codon, which is responsible for specific mRNA codon recognition, and the 3' end, to which the tRNAs corresponding amino acid is attached (by aminoacyl-tRNA synthetases). tRNAs cope with the degeneracy of the genetic code in two manners: having more than one tRNA (with a specific anti-codon) for a particular amino acid; and 'wobble' base-pairing, i.e. permitting non-standard base-pairing at the 3rd anti-codon position. The record is from RNAcentral. Lineage: Eukaryota; Endomyxa; Phytomyxea; Plasmodiophorida; Plasmodiophoridae.
UGGUAGUUAGCUCAAGUGGUAGAGCAUCUCUUUUACACGGAGGGGGUUGUUGGUUCAAAUCCGAUACUAUCAA